UUAAAGGGUACCUAGACGGUAGAUCAAGCUUUCUAAUAAAUGAAAAGGACUAAUUUACUAGAGUUACUUAUGAGGGGGUAUUAAAGUACUGCUGGUGUAGAGAUGAAAUUCUGUCAUACCUCUUUUCAAAAGAAAAACCAUGGCACAGGUAUAGGCGAAGGCAUCCCCUUAUGUGAUAACUGACGUUGAGGGACGAAGGCUUUGUGUAGCGAACAGGAUUAGAUACCCCCGUAGUCGAAGCAGAAAAUGAUGAAUGUCAUAGAUUAGAUGUAUAAGUUUAUUCUAUAAAUGAAAGUGUAAGCAUUCCCCCUCAUGAGUAAUUUGGCAACAUUGGAACUGAAAUCAUUAGACCGUUUCUGAAACCAGUAGUGAAGUAUGUUGUUUAAUUUGAUGAUCCGCAAAAAACCUUACCCCAAUUUGAAAAUUUAUAUUUUUUAUUGUUUUCUUCUCUUUUUUCUUCAAGAAAAUUAAGAAAGAGGCAAUAAGAUAUAUUUACAAGCGUUGCACGGCUGUCUUCAGUUAAUGUCGCGAGACUUUGGUUAGUUCCAUUAAAUUAACGUAAACCCUUACGUUAUUUUUAUA
RNAcentral lists this ribosomal RNA (582 nucleotides) under Xanthoparmelia atroviridis. RNAcentral describes it as "SSU rRNA". It matches the Rfam family "Bacterial small subunit ribosomal RNA", at positions 560 to 1121 of the family's 1533-position model. The record is from RNAcentral. Lineage: Eukaryota; Fungi; Ascomycota; Lecanoromycetes; Lecanorales; Parmeliaceae.